GACGAGCGCUGGCGGCGUGCUUAACACAUGCCAGUCGAACGGAAAGGCCCUGCUUUUGUGGGGUGCUCGAGUGGCGAACGGGUGAGUAACACGUGAGUAACCUGCCCUUGACUUUGGGAUAACUUCAGGAAACUGGGGCUAAUACCGGAUAGGAGCUCCUGCUGCAUGGUGGGGGUUGGAAAGUUUCGGCGGUUGGGGAUGGACUCGCGGCUUAUCAGCUUGUUGGUGGGGUAGUGGCUUACCAAGGCUUUGACGGGUAGCCGGCCUGAGAGGGUGACCGGCCACAUUGGGACUGAGAUACGGCCCAGAAUCCUACGGGAGGCAGCAGUGGGGAAUAUUGCACAAUGGGCGGAAGCCUGAUGCAGCAACGCCGCGUGCGGGAUGACGGCCUUCGGGUUGUAAACCGCUUUCGCCUGUGACGAAGCGUGAGUGACGGUAAUGGGUAAAGAAGCACCGGCUAACUACGUG
This 468-nucleotide ribosomal RNA is filed under the name uncultured bacterium. Its description in RNAcentral is "partial 16S ribosomal RNA". It matches the Rfam family "Bacterial small subunit ribosomal RNA", at positions 28 to 507 of the family's 1533-position model. The record is from RNAcentral.